UACCAACUGCCUUCUCUCAACUGACUCAACUGCUCAGAAAUUUCUGGUGGGAGCAAAAGGGGUUGAUUUCUGCCAUUCCUGGAGCCGUUCCCAUCACUGAAUGAGAGAGAGGAGCUGGGAGAGGAGCUGCUUCCUUCUCGCCUCUGCUUUCCUCUGCCGGGGUUAGCAGAAAGGUUGAUCUCCAGAUGAUGCAGUUAAGGGCUUCAAGGAUACCAGCAGGCCUUUCUCUCCUGGGCGCCUUCAGCAUCAUAGCAGGUACAGGAUAAAGAUCAUGAUGGAGGGCCUGGUCUCCACUUGGCCUAGCAGCCUUCCCUGAGCUGGGCCUGUGCCAAAGUAAAAGUGCCCAGGAGAAGGAGUGGGAAUCGGAAAAGAAUGAAGGCGAAGCAAGCAAUGGAGGAUCCUGAUAGCUGUGUCUCCUGAUCCAUACUACAGUCCUGUAAGUGUUGAAGAACCUCUUGAAUUUGUCUUCCCAGAAGAUGGAGAGGUAAGUCUGACUCCUACCACCUCCAGAGGCCAGACUGUCAGAGAGCUACAUAGGAAAAGACAGCAGUCCACAGAUAUCAAAGGUGUUGAAAAAGGAGCGUACUUCCUCUCUGUUGCUACUGAGCGCAGCACUGAACGCUGCCAAUACGAGAAUGCAGGUUUAGGCUAGGCAGUAGGAAUGCUUUCCCAAAUGGGAGAAGGGUUGCCAAGGUCACCUCAUGGAGUCCUGGGCUCCUCUUUGCUGAUGGUUUUCAGACAGAAGCCAGAUAACGAUGAUCUCCAAGGAGCCUUCCCACUCUAAAAUGCAAAGAUUCUGCUGUGAUCGUCACAUUGAGUCUGCAAGGGAUCUGCAAGUCCCGCCCCCCCGACACCCAGACUGAUUCUAUUUGCCCCCCAAGUUGACUGCAGUUAUGAGGAAGCAGAUUUAAGCUAAGCCUUGAGAAUAAUUUCCCACGGGAGAGAUGUCUGCAGAGGCACACACAACCAUCCCAAGUACAGAUAUAGAUAGUAUAGAGGUACACUCGCACAUAUACUUGUGAACACUUUUUUAAUGUCAAUAAUUGGUAAAGAGGGACCAGUGAUGCAUGGAUUUAUUUUUCUGAUUGAAUCCCUUCCCUUGAUGGGAGUUGCAGCCCAACAACAUCUGGGACCAAGUUUGAGAAUCUCUUGUCUGUUGGCUUCCCAGAGGCAUCCAGUGAGCCCCUAUGGGGAAACAGCAUGCUGGAUUAGAUAGGCCUUGGGUCUGAUCCAGCAGGGCUGUUAGGUUCUUAACAGUCAGGUAUGAUGGGAGUUGUAGUCCAACUUCUAUUUCCAGUCAUUCUCUUCAGCCUGACCUACUUUACAGGACUAUUGUGAGGAUAGAAGAAUUGCAUAUUUGGAGGUCCCGGCAGUAAGGGCAGAUAUAAAUUCCAGAAGCCAAGGGUUCUUAAAAUUGGGUCCCCAGAUGUUUUGGGACUAGAAUUCCCAUCAUCCUCAGCUACAAAACCUUGCAGGAGUAUUGCAUGUCUUGUUGAUCAAAAGGGAAUCAUGCAUGUUUGGAAUGGAAGGGUCCUUGUAAGAGCCCUGAAAAGUCAGAAGUUAGAUUACACAGAAGUUAUAUUAGAAGUUACAAAUAUUUUAAAGUUGAUGCUUAUGCUUUAUUUUAAAAAUAUUUAUAUAUUUCAUAUUGAAAAGACUCUUGGUUAAAACAACGCAGGGUUGUGUACAGCCCAUCGGAUCCCUCUACUACCUCUUGGUUUCUCCCAAGACGUGCUCAAGAGAGAUUUCCAUAGAGAUCUGCUUGCACAGACAUUACACUUUCAUCUUGCUUCUGCAUCCUUGCAAUAGCUGCCACUUGAAGCACUAGAGGGGUGGGGAGGGAUAGCUAUUCACAGCAAUUAGCCAAGAAGCUAGGGAUGACCCACCUGUAGCUCAGCAGCUGCUGUUGGACUAGAAUUCGCAUCAUCCCCAGCUGCUGUGUUGAGACUACAGAUGAUCACCCCCAUCAAAACAGGUGGCUGGGGAUGGUAGAAGUUUUAGUAUGGUGGGAGUUGUAAUCCAACACAGUGAUAACAAAUAUAGUCCCCUGAUGCAAAUCCAUGGUGAAAAGCAUCGUGAAAGAAAGCAUCAGGGUUUGGGCAACAGCUUGUAUAAGGGGGCUGGAUAAAGAAAUCAACAUGAAAAUAGGAAGGUUGAAACUAAGGGCGAAUAAGGGAAGGCCAUUAAAGUAACACAUUGAUCUGAAUUUAAGAUGCUAUUACCCCAAAUGAUUUGAUGUUAAAACUCAGGGUCACGACGUAAAUUCAGAAUCCUGCUGUUUUAGGUAAGUAAAUGUUUAACAUAUAUUAAACUGCCACCCAUUCCUGGAGGGCCGGCUGCCCGUUGGUUCUUUCCUCCUGCCUCCCAAAUGACUUGAUGUUAAAAUUCAGGUUCAUGACAUAAAUUCAGAAUCCUGCUGUUUUAGGUAAGUAAAUGUUUAACAUAUAUUAAACUGCCACCCAUUCCUGGAGGGCCAUUCGCCCGUUUGUUCCCUCCUCCUGCCGGACCCCACAAGGCUUGGCGUUCCCUCCUCCUGCCGGACCCCACAAGGCUUGGCGUUCCCUCCUCCUGCCGGACCCCACAAGGCUUGGCGUUCCCUCCUCCUGCCGGACCCCACAAGGCUUGGCGUUCCCUCCUCCUGCCGGACCCCACAAGGCUUGGCGUUCCCUCCUCCUGCCGGACCCCACAAGGCUUGGCGUUCCCUCCUCCUGCCGGACCCCACAAGGCUUGGCGUUCCCUCCUCCUGCCGGACCCCACAAGGCUUGGCGUUCCCUCCUCUUGCCGGACCCCACAAGGCUUGGCGUUCCUUCCUCUUGCCGGACCCCACAAGGCUUGGCGUUCCUUCCUCUUGCCGGACCCCA
This is a long non-coding RNA of Hemicordylus capensis (graceful crag lizard), 2861 nucleotides long. RefSeq lists it as uncharacterized. The record is from RefSeq and is a predicted model, not a curated record. The transcript is spliced from 3 exons. NCBI's taxonomy places the organism in Eukaryota, Metazoa, Chordata, Lepidosauria, Squamata, Cordylidae.